UAACCAUUAACUCUUGGCUUCCCACCUCCAAACGCUGCCUUUCUCCGCCCUGAUGAGAGAAGCGCUUUGGGGAGACUUGCGUGGAGCAAAUUAGUCCUUGCUCAGGAUUCAGAUCCACAGAUCCAUGGUUGAGACGCGCCUCGGGGCCUGCUGGCGCCAGGAUCCCAGCGCCACCGCUGCUGCAUCCUCCGGGGGUCUGGGUGCUCAUCUGUAAAGUGGGAGGGAUUGCCCACUCCCACUUCUUAGAGUUGGUGGAGGAGGUACAGUUAUAAAUGUGGCAGGAAGGAAGAGCAAAUACUGUUUAGGAAAACCUGUGUACAGGCAAAAGCUUCCCCCGUGGAAUACAUUCCUUCCCAGAUACCAAGACUUAAUAAACCAGCAGAUCCCAGAGUUAUGAGCACAGAGAGCAAGUGGGGACCCUUAAGUGUGACAGUGACAGGGGCCUCGCCCACUUUGCCCCGGACCCAUGCUUUCUGGUCACAGGAAAACCAGUGCUGUUUAUUGACGCUGGCUGAGAACACGUCUGAGAGCGCAGAAACCCAGCCUUCAAGGUGUGUUCCGCCCUGGCACCCUGGGCACCUUACGUGGGCCACUCCUCCUCUCGGCCCUUCUAGAUGAGAGACACGGGGAAGACUCAGAGGCCCCAUGGGUGUCAGGCCUAGAGGCUCUCCCUUGGUUCCUUGGUCAGAGGCGAUCGUGGAUAGGUUAGUGUGAAAGUGAAGCAGGCACUCAGGAAGGAUCCAGAUGGGAAGGAAAACCACGCCCAGGAUAAGCACGUCCUCAGCGAGGUUGGAUGGGAUGGACUGGCUGCCGGGUGGCUGCUGGGAGCCCAGGAUAUGGUGCCACAUCACCACCCCGUGUUGGUCUCAGCUGCUGAGAGACUGAGCACUGGACGGCGGCCAGACGGGCCUCGGUGGGGAGAGACCUGUGUUGUUAAUCCACAGACUGUCUCCAGCCAUGCCGCCAUUGGCACUUCUGUCAUGGACUUUUUGUGCAGAGACUGGGAUGGCUGGACAAGGCAGCGGCCAACAUCUGCAGAAUGGGCCAUCUUCUCCACCUGGCUGUCCAGCGCAUCCUACACAACAGGAACAUCUGGGGACACAGGUUCGAUCCCUGACUGGAGAGCCAAGAUCCCACGUGCUGUGGGGCAACUAAGCCUGGACGGCGCAACUACUGAGCCUGUGCUCUGGAGCCCGCACGCCACAACUACAGAGCCCACGUGCCCCAACGAAAGAUUCUGCGUGUCACAACGAAGACCUGACACAGCCAAAUAAAUAAAUAUUUAAAAAAAUGA
Molecule: long non-coding RNA, 1294 nt
Organism: Lagenorhynchus albirostris (white-beaked dolphin)
Lineage: Eukaryota; Metazoa; Chordata; Mammalia; Artiodactyla; Delphinidae
Exons: 2
Source: RefSeq, a predicted model, not a curated record